AACUUUACCAUGCUGGAAACAGCGAUCAGGGGACCUCGAGUGCCAGGUUACAAAUCUGGCUGUCGUGAUGCCUAAAAAGCAUUGCAUAGCAAGGGCCGGGCAAGACCGGUGCCAGCCGCCGCGGUAACACCGGCGGCUCGAGUGGUAACCGUUAUUAUUGGGUCUAAAGGGUCUGUAGCCGGCCGGAUAAGUCUCUUGGGAAAUCCAGCAGCUCAACUGUUGGGCUUUCAGGAGAUACUGUCUGGCUCGAGGCCGGGAGAGGUGAGAGGUACUUCAGGGGUAGGGGUGAAAUCUUGUAAUCCUUGAAGGACCACCAGUGGCGAAGGCGUCUCACCAGAACGGACCUGACGGCAAGGGACGAAAGCUAGGGGCACGAACCGGAUUAGAUACCCGGGUAGUCCUAGCCGUAAACGAUACUCGCUAGGUGUCGGCCACGGUGCGACCGUUGUCGGUGCCGUAGGGAAGCCGUGAAGCGAGCCACCUGGGAAGUACGGCCGCAAGGCUGAAACUUAAAGGAAUUGGCGGGGGAGCAC
This 533-nucleotide ribosomal RNA is filed under the name uncultured archaeon. Its description in RNAcentral is "bacterial SSU rRNA". It matches the Rfam family "Archaeal small subunit ribosomal RNA", at positions 346 to 879 of the family's 1478-position model. The record is from RNAcentral.